UAAGGUCCUAGCUUAAUUAAAGUGCCUGGGUUGCAUUCAGGAGAUGCAGGGUAGUGUCCUGCGGGUCUUAUC
RNAcentral lists this transfer RNA (72 nucleotides) under Pterorhinus lanceolatus (Chinese babax). Its description in RNAcentral is "tRNA-Ala". It matches the Rfam family "tRNA". Rfam says of the family: Transfer RNA (tRNA) molecules are approximately 80 nucleotides in length. Their secondary structure includes four short double-helical elements and three loops (D, anti-codon, and T loops). The record is from RNAcentral. Lineage: Eukaryota; Metazoa; Chordata; Aves; Passeriformes; Leiothrichidae.